UGUAUGUACGUAGUGGGGAAUUUUCCGAUGCUACCUGAUACAUAAAUUAACCCCAUUAAACCCUCCCAAUAACGACAGACAACUUAGUAUGGAUGAAACAGGCCACAGCAUUUAUUAUAACAUAAAUAAAUAAAUACUGCAUAACACAUCCAUAACUUUAUUUAUUCAAAAUCUUCUUUCUGUAACCAAAAUUGUUAAACAUAAAUAAGCAUAAAUUAACAUAUAUACAUAUAUAACAACACACAGUGUUAUACAGUAACCCAACCGUCCUUGCCAAUAAACAUACCGUGGUUCCUAAUCACCACUUCCUCUCACCUCGUCAUAAAUCAUACCAUUCCAAUGCCCGCCAUCAGCCGACCUUAUCCACGCUCAAUGGGCACGAUACCUCAGGCAACCUAAAGUUAACCGUUUAAAGCAGGGGAGGUUGAGACUUGCCAACUUAUUAACUCACUCCAACCAUAAAA
Molecule: long non-coding RNA, 464 nt
Filed under: Pelobates cultripes (western spadefoot toad)
Lineage: Eukaryota; Metazoa; Chordata; Amphibia; Anura; Pelobatidae
Source: RNAcentral